RNAcentral lists this transfer RNA (76 nucleotides) under Lentisphaerota bacterium. RNAcentral describes it as "Lentisphaerae bacterium (anaerobic digester metagenome) tRNA-Thr". It matches the Rfam family "tRNA". Rfam says of the family: Transfer RNA (tRNA) molecules are approximately 80 nucleotides in length. Their secondary structure includes four short double-helical elements and three loops (D, anti-codon, and T loops). Lineage: Bacteria; Pseudomonadati; Lentisphaerota. RNAcentral also lists the same sequence under 1 other name. The record is from RNAcentral.
GCCGGCUUAGCUCAGUUGGCAGAGCAGCUGAUUUGUAAUCAGCAGGUCGUCAGUUCGAAUCUGACCGCCGGCUCCA